AUUGAACGCUGGCGGCAGGCCUAACACAUGCAAGUCGAGCGGAUGAAGGGAGCUUGCUCCUGGAUUCAGCGGCGGGCGGGUGAGUAAUGCCUAGGAAUCUGCCUGGUAGUGGGGGAUAACGUCCGGAGACGGGCGCUAAUACCGCAUACGUCCUGAGGGAGAAAGUGGGGGAUCUUCGGACCUCACGCUAUCAGAUGAGCCUAGGUCGGAUUAGCUAGUUGGUGGGGUAAAGGCCUACCAAGGCGACGAUCCGUAACUGGUCUGAGAGGAUGAUCAGUCACACUGGAACUGAGACACGGUCCAGACUCCUACGGGAGGCAGCAGUGGGGAAUAUUGGACAAUGGGCGAAAGCCUGAUCCAGCCAUGCCGCGUGUGUGAAGAAGGUCUUCGGAUUGUAAAGCACUUUAAGUUGGGAGGAAGGGCAGUAAGUUAAUACCUUGCUGUUUUGACGUUACCAACAGAAUAAGCACCGGCUAACUUCGUG
RNAcentral lists this ribosomal RNA (484 nucleotides) under uncultured bacterium. RNAcentral describes it as "partial 16S ribosomal RNA". It matches the Rfam family "Bacterial small subunit ribosomal RNA", at positions 30 to 507 of the family's 1533-position model. The record is from RNAcentral.